This 62-nucleotide non-coding RNA is filed under the name Rhodococcus sp. (in: high G+C Gram-positive bacteria). The record is from RNAcentral. Lineage: Bacteria; Bacillati; Actinomycetota; Actinomycetes; Mycobacteriales; Nocardiaceae. RNAcentral also lists the same sequence under 1 other name.
UACCAGUCUCGAUGACUAACGGACGAGCGCACCGUACCCGGCCAGCGACAAGACGGUGCAUG